AAAAAAGAGGGGUUGUAGGGGAUGAAAUCCCCUGCCCGUUUUCAGGAAGGUGCUCAGCCAGCUUCACUGGCGUCGAAGGAAAC
Alkaliphilus metalliredigens QYMF is the source of this 83-nucleotide small RNA. It matches the Rfam family "Clostridiales-2 RNA". Lineage: Bacteria; Bacillati; Bacillota; Clostridia; Peptostreptococcales; Natronincolaceae. The record is from Rfam.